Molecule: long non-coding RNA, 1250 nt
Filed under: Oncorhynchus kisutch (coho salmon)
Lineage: Eukaryota; Metazoa; Chordata; Actinopteri; Salmoniformes; Salmonidae
Description: lncRNA (ENSOKIG00005049945.1)
Source: RNAcentral
AGGCCUGUCAUCCUUUAGUCAGACCCCAGGCCAGUCGUCCUUUAGUCAGACCCCAGGCCUGUCAUCCUUUAGUCAGAACCCAGGCCAGUGGUCCUUUAGUCAGACCCCAGGCCAGUCAUAUCAUUCCUCCCUGCACAGUAACUUUAAAAUGUUCUUUGUGAUGGGCCUCCUUCGACCAAAUACCUCAGUCAUACUGUAUUCUAUACCAUACUGUAUUCUGUAUCGUACUGUAUUCUGUAUCGUACUGUAUUCUAUAUCAUACUGUAUUCUGUAUCAUACUGUAGUCUGUAUCAUACUGUAUUCUAUAUCAUACUGUAGUCUGUAUCAUACUGUAUUCUGUAUCGUACUGUAUUCUGUAUCGUACUGUAUUCUGUAUCGUACUGUAUUCUAUAUCAUACUGUAUUCUGUAUCAUACUGUAGUCUGUAUCAUACUGUAUUCUAUAUCAUACUGUAUUCUGUAUCAUACUGUAUUCUGUAUCGUACUGUAUUCUGUAUCGUACUGUAUUCUGUAUCGUACUGUAUUCUGUAUCGUACUGUAGUCUGUAUCAUACUGUAUUCUAUAUCAUACUGUAGUCUGUAUCAUACUGUAUUCUGUAUCGUACUGUAUUCUGUAUCGUACUGUAUUCUGUAUCAUACUGUAUUCUGUAUCAUACUGUAUUAUAUAUCAUACAGUAACAUCACCCAACAGAACCUCCCUGCCCUCUCACAGUACCACUCCAAGCAUCUCACCCCCCACCUCCCUGCCCUCUCACAGUACCACUCCAAGCAUCUCACCCCCCACCUCCCUGCCCUCUCAGAGUACCACUCCAAGCAUCUCACCCCCCACCUCCCUGCCCUCUCACAGUACCACUCCAAGCAUCUCACCCCCCACCUCCCUGCCCUCUCACAGUACCACUCCAAUCAUCUCACCCCCCACAGUACCACUCCAAUCAUCUCACCCCCCACCUCACAGUACCACUCCAAUCAUCUCACCCCCCACCUCACAGUACCACUCCAAGCAUCUCACCCCCCACCUCACAGUACCACUCCAAUCAUCUCACCCCCCACAGUACCACUCCAAUCAUCUCACCCCCCACAGUACCACUCCAAUCAUCUCACCCCCCACAGUACCACUCCAAUCAUCUCACCCCCCACCUCACAGUACCACUCCAAUCAUCUCACCCCCCACCUCACAGUACCACUCCAAGCAUCUCACCCCCCACCUCACAGUACCACUCCAAGCAUCUCACCCCCCACCUCCCUGCCCUCUC